This 738-nucleotide ribosomal RNA is filed under the name Betaproteobacteria bacterium. RNAcentral's name for it is "bacterial SSU rRNA". It matches the Rfam family "Bacterial small subunit ribosomal RNA", at positions 79 to 813 of the family's 1533-position model. Lineage: Bacteria; Pseudomonadati; Pseudomonadota; Betaproteobacteria. The record is from RNAcentral.
UUGCACCUGAUGGCGAGUGGCGAACGGGUGAGUAAUGCAUCGGAACGUGCCCAGUCGUGGGGGAUAACGCAGCGAAAGCUGUGCUAAUACCGCAUACGAUCUAUGGAUGAAAGCGGGGGACCUUCGGGCCUCGCGCGAUUGGAGCGGCCGAUGUUAGAUUAGGUAGUUGGUGGGGUAAAGGCUCACCAAGCCGACGAUCUAUAGCUGGUCUGAGAGGACGACCAGCCACACUGGAACUGAGACACGGUCCAGACUCCUACGGGAGGCAGCAGUGGGGAAUUUUGGACAAUGGGCGAAAGCCUGAUCCAGCAAUACCGCGUGCAGGAAGAAGGCCCUCGGGUUGUAAACUGCUUUUGUACGGAACGAAACGGCGCGCUCUAAUAAAGUGCGCUAAUGACGGUACCGUAAGAAUAAGCACCGGCUAACUACGUGCCAGCAGCCGCGGUAAUACGUAGGGUGCAAGCGUUAAUCGGAAUUACUGGGCGUAAAGCGUGCGCAGGCGGUUUUGUAAGACAGGCGUGAAAUCCCCGGGCUUAACCUGGGAAUUGCGCUUGUGACUGCAAGGCUAGAGUACGGUAGAGGGGGGUAGAAUUCCGCGUGUAGCAGUGAAAUGCGUAGAUUGCGGAGGAACACCGAUGGCGAAGGCAGCCCCCUGGACCUGUACUGACGCUCAUGCACGAAAGCGUGGGGAGCAAACAGGAUUAGAUACCCUGGUAGUCCCACGCCCUAAACGAUGUC